AUGGACGAGUCCGGGGACGCCGGCAGGGGAGGGAGGGGCGGCGGGAGGUCGAGGCAGAAUGGGGGCCGCUCGUCGGUCCGGCUCGGCGUGCGGAUGGAGUUCAGGUUCUCCGGCUUCCACGCCGUUCAGGUACCAGUAGUAUCAGACAGGCUGCUCAUUACAAUCACGUCAGUAGACAGUGGAAAAACAAUUGCCAAGUCAAGUAAAGCGGCUGCUAUUAAUGGAGCCUGUCAAUGGCAUGACUCCAUCCUGCAUGCAAUUCGGUUUCCUAAAGAUGAAGUGUCACAAGAAUUUCAGGAGUGCCAGUGCAAGAUUGUUGUUUCCAUGGGAUCAACAAGAACUGCUGUUCUUGGGGAAGCGUACCUAAAUCUGACGAACUAUCUCAGUUCAUCAGACUCCACUGACAUCUCUUUGCCAUUGAAGAAUUGCAAUUCUGGCACAGUUUUACAGCUUAAGAUUCAAUGUCUUGGCGCAAAAUCUAAAUCAAGUGGGAAAUCAUGGAAAGGGCUAUCUUCUAAUCUUAAGGAGAGUCCAACCAAUGAUGAGAUGGACAAAAAGGCAGACGUCUUUGACAUUCUGUUGAAGUUGAACAAGGGUGCUCAGUCUUUGUCAGAAAAUAAUUUAGAAGCUGAUAAUGCAGAUGAAUCUGGAAAUAGGGAUGCAAGUUUCUCAGAAUCAAAGUCUCAUGGUGAUGAUUCAUCCAAAAAUCACCUUGACACCGCCGAAGAAAAACUUGAGGAGUUACGUAACGCGGCAAAAGUGUGGGAGAGACAUUCUCGCAAGUUGAAAAUUGAACGGAAGACAUUGAAGAAUGAGUGUGCUGACAAAUCCAAGCAGCAGGCUGAGCUAGAACGGCAACUUUCUGCUUCACUUUCUGAACAGGAUUCCUUGAGGCAAGAAAUUGAACAAGUAACAGCCCAACUGAACAAGACUCAAGAGACCAAUAUAGAGCUUGUUUCCAUUCUCCAAGAACUGGAAGAAACGAUAGAACUGCAGAGAGUGGAAAUGUCCAAACUUCCCCAAGUGAGUGAUGUGGCUGAUCACGAGGUCUCCAAAAGUGAAUCGACAGUUCAAGAAGCUGCAGAAUGGGCUAGAAUACUGUCACAAAAAGAAGAUGAAAUCACAGUGUUGAGGGAGAAACUGAACCGUGUUCUCAAAAUGGAGAAUGCAGAUGGUGCAGGCCCAGAUGUUAUUUAUCUUGAAUUGGAAAAAGAAAAUGAUUUUUUGAAGGUCAAAAUACAGGAGCUUGAGAAUGACUUUUCUGAAUUAACGGAGGAAAAUUUCGGGCUUAUAUACAAGUUGAAAGAAGCGAGUGGGGUGGCGAAAGAAGAGGAUCCCUGCAUUUCUAAUAGUGAAGAAAUGCCCACCGUGGGGAGCCCAACAUAUAAGAUAAAACACCUAGAGAGAAAAUGUGCUGACCUUGAGUUGAAUCUGGAGAAUUUUAGGUCCAAGUUCAGUGGGCUAGAAGAGAAGUUCCAGAAAAGCCAAGAGGAGUUAAAAGAGAGAACACUUGAAUUAUCUGAGCUGAGGGAAAAGCUCUCCCAUGCCACUGAACUGGAAGGGGCUGACACUGGUAGUUCAAGACAUUAUAGACUGAGAAGUGGAGAACCUGAUGAUACUGAAACUGACUUAGAUGUGUUGAAGCGUACAGUUCAGCUGAAAGAACAAGAGAUCGAUGGUUUGCAACACUGUACGAGAGAAAUGGAGAACACCAUUGCUGAUAUUCAGAAAGAGAAGAGUCAGUUAGAGGAACGUUUGGCAGCAUCACUUCAAGAAAGUAGCAUGACUUCAAAAUGCUUGGUUGAAGCGCAUGAAGAUCUCGUGCUUACCAGCAGUGUAGAUUCCCAUGUUUCUUCCAAUGAGGUCCUCGAAACAAAGAUCAGUGAGCUUGAGCGUACAGUUCAGCUGAAAGAACAAGAGAUCGAUGAUUUGCAACACUGUACGAGAGAAAUGGAGAACACCAUUGCUGAUAUUCAGAAAGAGAAGAGUCAGUUAGAGGAACGUUUGGCAGCAUCACUUCAAGAAAGUAGCAUGACUUCAAAAUGCUUGGUUGAAGCGCAUGAAGAUCUCGUGCUUACCAGCAGUGUAGAUUCCCAUGUUUCUUCCAACGAGGUCCUCGAAACGAAGACCAGUGAGCUUGAGCGUACAGUUCAGCUGAAAGAACAAGAGAUCGAUGGUUUGCAACAUUGUACGAGAGAAAUGGAGAACACCAUUGCUGAUAUUCAGAAAGAGAAGAGUCAGUUAGAGGAACGUUUGGCAGCAUCACUUCAAGAAAGUAGCAUGACUUCAAAAUGCUUGGUUGAAGCGCAUGAAGAUCUCGUGCUUACCAGCAGUGUAGAUUCCCAUGUUUCUUCCAAUGAGGUCCUCGAAACAAAGAUCAGUGAGCUUGAGCGUACAGUUCAGCUGAAAGAACAAGAGAUCGAUGGUUUGCAACACUGUGCAAGAGAAAUGGAGAACACCAUUGCUGAUAUUCAGAAGGAGAAGAGUCAGUUAGAGGAACGUUUGGCAGCAUCACUUCAAGAAAGUAGCAUGACUUCAAAAUGCUUGGUUGAAGCGCAUGAAGAUCUCGUGCUUACCAGCAGUGUAGAUUCCCAUGUUUCUUCCAACGAGGUCCUCGAAACGAAGACCAGUGAGCUUGAGCGUACAGUUCAGCUGAAAGAACAAGAGAUCGAUGGUUUGCAACAUUGUACGAGAGAAAUGGAGAACACCAUUGCUGAUAUUCAGAAAGAGAAGAGUCAGUUAGAGGAACGUUUGGCAGCAUCACUUCAAGAAAGUAGCAUGACUUCAAAAUGCUUGGUUGAAGCGCAUGAAGAUCUCGUGCUUACCAGCAGUGUAGAUUCCCAUGUUUCUUCCAAUGAGGUCCUCGAAACAAAGAUCAGUGAGCUUGAGCGUACAGUUCAGCUGAAAGAACAAGAGAUCGAUGNNNNNNNNNNNNNNNNNNNNNNNNNNNNNNNNNNNNNNNNNNNNNNNNNNNNNNNNNNNNNNNNNNNNNNNNNNNNNNNNNNNNNNNNNNNNNNNNNNNNUAGCAUGACUUCAAAAUGGUUGGAUGAAGCGCGGGAAGAUCUCCUUGUGCUUAGCAGCAGUGUAGAUUCCCAUGUUUCUGCCAAUGGGGUUCUCGAAACAAAGAUCAAUGAGCUUGUGCAUACAGUUAUGCUGAAAGAACAGGAGAUCAAUGGUCUGCAACAUUGUACGACAGAAAUGGAGAACACUAUUUCUGAUAUUCAGAAGGAGAAGGAUCAGCUAGAGGAACGUUUGGCAGCAUCACUUGAAGAAAGUAGCAUGACAUCAAAAUGCUUGGAUGAAGCGCGAGAAGAUCUCCUUGUGCUUACCAGUAGCGUAGAUUCUCAUGCUUCUGCCAAUAAGGUUCUCGAAAGAAAGAUUAGCGAGCUUGAAAGCCGCGAAGUUGAACUAGAGUUGCUUGUAACAAAGCUGGAACAAGAGAAUAUUGAGUUUUCCGAGUUCAUAUCUGAACUAGAGUCUCAGUUGACUUCUCUCACAAGUGAAGAGGAGGCAACCAGGCUAGAAAUGGAUUAUUCUAUAUCACUUAUCGCAAAUCUUAAGGAUUUAGUAGAACAGCAGCAAGCAGAGAUGGAAGCUCAAAAGCUGGAAAUGAAGCAAAAGCAUUUGGAGUCCCAAACUAGAUUGUCAGAAGUACAAGAGGAUUCGGAGGCUCUAAGAAGAUCAAAUGCAAAACUACAGGCCACAAUUGAUAGUGUUGCUGAAGAAUGCAGUUCUCUUCAGACUCUAACAGCUGACCUAAAGAAGCAGAAGCUGGAAUUACAUGACCAUUGUGCACAGCUGGAGCAGCAAUUAGAUCAAUCAAAAAGGAAGACAAUGGAUUUGUUCGAAACAGCAGAGUUCCUAGAGGCAAAACUCUCUACGCUUCAAAAAGAGGUAACUUUAAAAGAGCAAUCUUUGCUUUCAGAGCUGGAGAAUAUAUUCCAGGAGCACAAGGAACACGAAGAAAGGAUAAAUAGUGCACAUUUCCUUUUAAACAAGAUAGAGAACGAAAAGAUUGGUGAAGUGAAGAAUCUUGAGAGGGAGGUCAUGAGCCUUACUGCACAGCUGUCCUCCACAGACGGGGAGAAAGACAGUGCCGCCUUGGAUAGCAUACAUGAGGUCUCCAUCCUGCGAGCAGACAAGGCCAAACUUGAGGCUAACCUUGAAGAUGUCAGUGCACAAAUGAGACAUUAUCAGUCUCAGUUGGAAGAUCUUCGUACAGAGUCUAAAACCAAAAUUAAAGGCCUGAUUGAUUCGCUUAACGCAUCCAAACAUAAUGAGGAAACGCUGACAACAGAUGUUGAGCAUAUGACAAGAUUGAUGGAAGCUGCUAGAUCCAAUGAAGAAAACUUAAGGAAAACUUCAGACGAACUAGAGUUGAAGUAUAAAUCCAGUGAUUAUGAGAAACAGGAAGUAAUGGAGGAAAUUUCUGGACUAAAAAUCCAGGUUAGCAAAAUGGCAAGCAUCCAAGAUGAAGUUUUCAAACUACAAAGUUCUCUUGAUCAGGCUAAGUUUGAAAAGACAAAAUUAGAAGAGCGUCUGCAGUCACUAUCUGAAGAAUGUGAAGAACUAAAGGUGCAGAAGGCCAUGUUAACAGACCAAGUCUCUUGUAUCCAGAGUACUUUGCAUGAUGCCGAUGAAGAAAAUCGUCGUAAAUCCACUCAAGCAAAGCUUGUAGUAAAUAAGGGUAAUGACGACGCUGCUAAUGACAAUGGAGGUACUCAUGUUAAUGAAGAUCUAGACAUUCACUCAAAGCUAGAAUUACUGGAGACUAGACUUGCUGAUGCAUUGGAGGAAAAUAAAUCAUAUAGGGCGCAGCUGCAAAGUCCAACGGGAGAGGGACAACUCGGUAGCAGGGAUGAAAAGGAUAACAAGGAUGGGAACAGGAUAGCACAACUGGAGUCAGAGCUAAAAGAUAUGCAGGAUCGGUUACUCAACGUGAGCAUGCAAUAUGCAGAAGUGGAGGCUCAACGAGAAGAACUAGUUAUGGAGUUGAAAAGUGCAACUGCAAGGAAGGGACGAUGGUUCUAG
This 5031-nucleotide ribosomal RNA is filed under the name Triticum aestivum (bread wheat). RNAcentral describes it as "partial small subunit ribosomal RNA". Lineage: Eukaryota; Viridiplantae; Streptophyta; Magnoliopsida; Poales; Poaceae. The record is from RNAcentral.